Molecule: ribosomal RNA, 445 nt
Filed under: uncultured bacterium
Lineage: Bacteria
Description: bacterial SSU rRNA
Rfam family: Bacterial small subunit ribosomal RNA
Source: RNAcentral
ACCAGACUCCUACGGGAGGCAGCAGUGGGGAAUAUUGCACAAUGGGGGAAACCCUGAUGCAGCGACGCCGCGUGAGUGAAGAAGUAAUUCGUUAUGUAAAGCUCUAUCAGCAGGGAAGAAAAUGACGGUACCUGAGUAAGAAGCCCCGGCUAACUACGUGCCAGCAGCCGCGGUAAUACGUAGGGGGCAAGCGUUAUCCGGAUUUACUGGGUGUAAAGGGCGUGUAGGCGGGACUGCAAGUCAGAUGUGAAAAUUAUGGUCUCAACCCAUAACCUGCAUUUGAAACUGUAGUUCGUGAGUGAUGGAGAGGCAGGCGGAACUCCGUGUGUAGCGGUGAAAUGCGUAGAUAUACGGAGGAACACCAGUGGCGAAGGCGGCCUGCUGGACAUUAACUGACGCUGAGGCGCGAAAGCGUGGGGAGCAAACAGGAUUAGAUACCCCUGUA